RNAcentral lists this ribosomal RNA (492 nucleotides) under uncultured bacterium. RNAcentral's name for it is "partial 16S ribosomal RNA". It matches the Rfam family "Bacterial small subunit ribosomal RNA", at positions 29 to 507 of the family's 1533-position model. The record is from RNAcentral.
AGUGAACGCUGGCGGUAGGCCUAACACAUGCAAGUCGAACGGCAGCACAGUAAGAGCUUGCUCUUACGGGUGGCGAGUGGCGGACGGGUGAGGAAUACAUCGGAAUCUACUUUUUCGUGGGGGUUAAGGAAGGAAAACUACGCCAAUUCCGCAUAAGAACCUCCGGUGAAAGGCAGGGGAUUUUGGACCUUUCGCGGAUGAAUUGGGCGGAUGUCGGAUUAGCUAGUUGGCGGGGUAAAGGCCCACCAAGGCGACGAUCCGUAGCUGGUCUGAGAGGAUGAUCAGCCACACUGGAACUGAGACACGGUCCAGACUCCUACGGGAGGCAGCAGUGGGGAAUAUUGGACAAUGGGCGCAAGCCUGAUCCAGCCAUACCGCGUGGGUGAAGAAGGCCUUCGGGUUGUAAAGCCCUUUUGUUGGGAAAGAAAAGCAGCAGGUUAAUACCCCGCUGUUCUGACGGUACCCAAAGAAUAAGCACCGGCUAACUUCGUG